AGAAUCAACGCUGGCGGCGUGCCUAACACAUGCAAGUCGAACGAGAAAAGGGAGCAAUCCCUGAGUACAGUGGCGACCGGGUGAGUAACACGUGACUAACCUACCCUCGAGUGUGGAAUAACAUCGGGAAACCGAUGCUAAUACCGCAUAACAUCGCAAGAUCAAAGGAGUAAUCCGCUUGAGGAGGGGGGUCGCGGCUGAUUAGCUAGUUGGCGGGGUAAUGGCCCACCAAGGCGAAGAUCGGUA
Molecule: ribosomal RNA, 246 nt
Filed under: uncultured bacterium
Lineage: Bacteria
Description: partial small subunit ribosomal RNA
Rfam family: Bacterial small subunit ribosomal RNA
Source: RNAcentral